RNAcentral lists this ribosomal RNA (497 nucleotides) under uncultured bacterium. RNAcentral describes it as "partial 16S ribosomal RNA". It matches the Rfam family "Bacterial small subunit ribosomal RNA", at positions 28 to 507 of the family's 1533-position model. The record is from RNAcentral.
GAUGAACGCUGGCGGCGUGCCUAAUACAUGCAAGUCGAGCAAACGGACGAGAAGCUUGCUUCUCUGAUGUUAGCGGCGGACGGGUGAGUAACACGUGGAUAACCUGCCUAUAAGACUGGGAUAACUUCGGGAAACCGGAGCUAAUACCGGAUAAUAUUUUGAACCGCAUGGUUCAAAAGUGAAAGACGGUCUUGCUGUCACUUAUAGAUGGAUCCGCGCUGCAUUAGCUAGUUGGUAAGGUAACGGCUUACCAAGGCAACGAUGCAUAGCCGACCUGAGAGGGUGAUCGGCCACACUGGAACUGAGACACGGUCCAGACUCCUACGGGAGGCAGCAGUAGGGAAUCUUCCGCAAUGGGCGAAAGCCUGACGGAGCAACGCCGCGUGAGUGAUGAAGGUCUUCGGAGCGUAAAACUCUGUUAUUAGGGAAGAACAUAUGUGUAAGUAACUGUGCACAUCUUGACGGUACCUAAUCAGAAAGCCACGGCUAACUACGUG